RNAcentral lists this ribosomal RNA (492 nucleotides) under uncultured bacterium. RNAcentral describes it as "partial 16S ribosomal RNA". It matches the Rfam family "Bacterial small subunit ribosomal RNA", at positions 29 to 507 of the family's 1533-position model. The record is from RNAcentral.
AGUGAACGCUGGCGGUAGGCCUAACACAUGCAAGUCGAACGGCAGCACCGUAAGAGCUUGCUCUUACGGGUGGCGAGUGUCGGACGGGUGAGGUAUACAUCGGAAUCUACUUUUUCGUGGGGGCUAACGUAGGGAAACUUACGCUAAUACCGCAUACGACCUACGGGUGAAAGCAGGGGAUCUUCGGACCUUGCGCGAUUGAAUGAGCCGAUGUCGGAUUAGCUCGUUGGCGGGGUAAAGGCCCACCAAGGCGACGAUCCGUAGCUGGUCUGAGAGGAUGUUUAGCCACACGGGAACUGAGAAACGGUCCAGACUCCUACGGGAGGCAGCAGUGGGGAAUAUUGGACGAUGGGCGCAAGCCUGAUCCAGCCAUACCGCGUGGGUGAAGAAGGACUUCGGGUUGUAAAGCCCUUUUGUUGGGAAAGAAAAGCAGCAGGUUAAUACCCCGCUGUUCUGACGGUACCCAAAGAAUAAGCACCGGCUAACUUCGUG